GGGUUUGUGGCUCAGAGGUAGAGCACUCGCCCAGCAUGCCUGAGGCACUGGGUUCAAUCCCCAGCACCUCCU
Non-coding RNA from Ictidomys tridecemlineatus (thirteen-lined ground squirrel), 72 nucleotides. Lineage: Eukaryota; Metazoa; Chordata; Mammalia; Rodentia; Sciuridae. The record is from Rfam.